GGACUCGCACAAGCGGUGGAGCAUGCGGUUUAAUUCGAUGCAACGCGAAGAACCUUACCAGGUCUUGACAUACUGUUGACAGGGUUAGAGAUAGCCCCUUUCUUCGGAACAACAGAUACAGGUGGUGCAUGGUUGUCGUCAGCUCGUGUCGUGAGAUGUUGGGUUAAGUCCCGCAACGAGCGCAACCCUUAUCAUUAGUUGCUAACAGUCAGAUGAGCACUCUAAUGAGACCGCCGGCGUAAGCCGGAUGAAGGUGGGGAUGACGUCAAAUCAUCAUGCCCCUUAUGACCUGGGCUACACGCGUGCUACAAUGGCUAGUACAAAGAGUUGCGAAACCGCGAGGUGGAGCUAAUCUCAUAAAGCUAGUCUCAGUUCGGAUUGUAGUCUGCAACUCGACUACAUGAAGUUGGAAUCGCUAGUAAUCGUGAAUCAGAAUGUCACGGUGAAUACGUUCUCGAGUCUU
Molecule: ribosomal RNA, 463 nt
Filed under: uncultured bacterium
Lineage: Bacteria
Description: bacterial SSU rRNA
Rfam family: Bacterial small subunit ribosomal RNA
Source: RNAcentral